This 477-nucleotide ribosomal RNA is filed under the name uncultured organism. Its description in RNAcentral is "partial 16S ribosomal RNA". It matches the Rfam family "Bacterial small subunit ribosomal RNA", at positions 331 to 799 of the family's 1533-position model. The record is from RNAcentral.
GUACACUCCUGCGGGAGGCAGCAGUGGGGAAUUUUGGACAAUGGGCGAAAGCCUGAUCCAGCAAUGCCGCGUGUGUGAAGAAGGCCUUCGGGUUGUAAAGCACUUUUGUCCGGAAAGAAAUCCUUGGCUCUAAUACAGUCGGGGGAUGACGGUACCGGAAGAAUAAGCACCGGCUAACUACGUGCCAGCAGCCGCGGUAAUACGUAGGCUGCGAGCGUUAAUCGGAAUUACUGGGCGUAAAGCGUGCGCAGGCGGUUUGCUAAGACCGAUGUGAAAUCCCCGGGCUCAACCUGGGAACUGCAUUGGUGACUGGCAGGCUAGAGUAUGGCAGAGGGGGGUAGAAUUCCACGUGUAGCAGUGAAAUGCGUAGAGAUGUGGAGGAAUACCGAUGGCGAAGGCAGCCCCCUGGGCCAAUACUGACGCUCAUGCACGAAAGCGUGGGGAGCAAACAGGAUUAGAUACCCUUGUAGUCCCAUG